RNAcentral lists this long non-coding RNA (1105 nucleotides) under Gallus gallus (chicken). The record is from RNAcentral. Lineage: Eukaryota; Metazoa; Chordata; Aves; Galliformes; Phasianidae.
GCAAGAGCAGCUUCCCCUCAUGAUUUUCCUGUAUCGUUCCUUCUCUGAAGGCAGCGCUUCAGGCUCUGCAAAACACGAAUAAGGAGGCGGCCGCAGUCGGGAAGCAAAACCCGCCCGCCGCGCUGCCCCGCCAGGGAGCCCGAGGACCAACGGCUGCCGCCGCUUCCCGCCCCGCCCGUUGCCUCACGGCGGCCACCAGCCUGGGCGCGGGGCGGCACGCAUGCGCGGGGACGCGAACUUGUUGCUUGGGCCGAAUAGCUCUGUCAUGUGCAGCCUUCUUGUAGAGGUGUGAUAUCCCCAAAGUAGUGCACCUAGGCCUGUGAUGAGGACCUACGGUCUUUGAUUUCAAAGGAUAGAGCUUUUUGGGGUAUGCUUUCUUUAUGAAUUUAUCAGUCAGAAGCGUGUUCUACAUGGAGCAUGUUUUUGUCCAAAGUAGAUAAGAACUAUCAUGUUUAUAAGGUCCAAGAAAAGCAGUGCUUGAAGCUGAAAGCCUCAAAAUAAGAGGGCAGUUGUAUGUGCUGAGUAAAAGAAGGUGUUUGUAUCAGUAGCUGAGUCUGGUGUGGUCUUGUUGUCUACUAAAUAAUUUGAACAAGUCAAUUGAAUAAAAUGAGAUAAAUGGCUGUUCUCUUAGAAAAAUGAAAAUAUUCUUUUGUGUUAACAAUGUACUGUAGUCACUGUGCUGUUCUCUUAGCUAAAUUCUCCUAUUAAAAAGGAAAACGUGCAAUAUCCAAAGGACAGAGAAAGAGGAAUGUAUUUGUGUAGUAAUUCUUUCCAGGAGAAUUAGUGACAAUUUUGUUAAUGAUCUCAAGGCCUUGACAUUUACAAGCCAGUAUGGUCACACAUGCUCAUCAACUAGGAACAAAGUAUUUGAACUGCUAUAAUGUGUUAGAAUGUCUAGUGCCCUGUAUUACUCCUACAGUCAGAAUCCAGCCUGAAAUAAAUAGUUUAAUGUUACAGAUUAGAUGAUGGAAAAGUUUGUGUGCUCUUCAGUAGCUUUCCUCAGGUGUCUGUGGAGGGUGGGAUCAGUUUGAUGUCAGGCAUUCUCACUUGGGCACUGCCUACAAUUGAGUCUAUCAAUUACUGCGAAAGUAUUUCCCAGAUAAAG